UACGUAGGUGGCAAGCGUUGUCCGGAUUUACCGGGCGUAAAGAGCGCGCAGGCGGUCGUUCAAGUCGCGUGUGAAAGCCCCCGGCUCAACUGGGGAGGGUCACGCGAUACUGAUCGACUCGAAGGCAGGAGAGGGAAGUGGAAUUCCCGGUGUAGUGGUGAAAUGCGUAGAUAUCGGGAGGAACACCAGUGGCGAAGGCGACUUCCUGGCCUGUUCUUGACGCUGAGGCGCGAAAGCUAGGGGAGCAAACGGG
RNAcentral lists this ribosomal RNA (253 nucleotides) under uncultured bacterium. RNAcentral's name for it is "partial 16S ribosomal RNA". It matches the Rfam family "Bacterial small subunit ribosomal RNA", at positions 524 to 776 of the family's 1533-position model. The record is from RNAcentral.